This 503-nucleotide ribosomal RNA is filed under the name uncultured bacterium. RNAcentral describes it as "partial 16S ribosomal RNA". It matches the Rfam family "Bacterial small subunit ribosomal RNA", at positions 30 to 523 of the family's 1533-position model. The record is from RNAcentral.
AUUGAACGCUGGCGGCAGGCUUAACACAUGCAAGUCGAGCGGGGUGAUGGUGCUUGCACUAUCACUUAGCGGCGGACGGGUGAGUAAUGCUUAGGAAUCUGCCUAUUAGUGGGGGACAACAUCUCGAAAGGGAUGCUAAUACCGCAUACGUCCUACGGGAGAAAGCAGGGGAUCACUUGUGACCUUGCGCUAAUAGAUGAGCCUAAGUCGGAUUAGCUAGUUGGUGGGGUAAAGGCCUACCAAGGCGACGAUCUGUAGCGGGUCUGAGAGGAUGAGCGGCCACACUUGGACUGGGACACGGCCCAGACUCCUACGGGAGGCAGCAGUGGGGAAUAUUGGACAAUGGGGGGAACCCUGAUCCAGCCAUGCCGCGUGUGGGAAGAAGGCCUUAUGGUUGUAAAGCACUUUAAGCGAGGAGGAGGCUCUUUUGGUUAAUACCCAGGAUGAGUGGACGUUACUCGCAGAAUAAGCACCGGCUAACUCUGUGCCAGCCGCCGCCGUAA